UUGGAGUUAGUCAGGGAGCUGUA
RNAcentral lists this non-coding RNA (23 nucleotides) under Cricetulus griseus (Chinese hamster). The record is from RNAcentral. Lineage: Eukaryota; Metazoa; Chordata; Mammalia; Rodentia; Cricetidae.